UACGGAGGGUGCAAGCGUUAUCCGGAUUCACUGGGUUUACAGGGCGCGUAGGUGGAUUGGAAAGUCAGUGGCGAAAUCUCCGGGCUUAACCCGGAAACUGCCAUUGAUACUAUCAAUCUUGAAUACCGUGGAGGUCAGCGGAAUAUGUCAUGUAGCGGUGAAAUGCAGAGAUAUGACAUAGAACACCAAUUGCGAAGGCAGCUGGCUACACGAAUAUUGACACUGAGGCACGAGAGCGUGGGGAUCAAACAGG
This 253-nucleotide ribosomal RNA is filed under the name uncultured bacterium. RNAcentral's name for it is "partial 16S ribosomal RNA". It matches the Rfam family "Bacterial small subunit ribosomal RNA", at positions 524 to 776 of the family's 1533-position model. The record is from RNAcentral.